UGAUUGCACUGAUCUUCAUGCAUCACAAUAUACACAACAAGCUGUUUAAUUAUUAUUUUUGAUUCUGGAAAUAAUUUUAAUUUAACUUAAGUUUGUGAAUAAUGUGAAUAAAAUGUGUCAUUCGUGUAUCUCUGCACGACAAAAAAUUUCUAAACUAAUCAAAAUUCAAUGUUGGAUGAUUUAUCAAACAGGCAUAUUAUUAUGUGAUAGUGAAUUUUUGUUAUUUUGCUUUGAUUUUUUAAUUCAUUUAAAAGUAAAUCUAAUACCAUUAAGGUUUUACUAUACAUAUGUAUGUAUGUAUUUAUGAAUAAAUAUACAUAUACAUACGUAUAUAGCAAAUUAAGAUUAACUACUCAUAAAAUUAAAUGUAGGGUCUUCAAAA
Molecule: long non-coding RNA, 382 nt
Filed under: Physcomitrium patens
Lineage: Eukaryota; Viridiplantae; Streptophyta; Bryopsida; Funariales; Funariaceae
Description: long non-coding RNA (PPAT_LNC004519)
Source: RNAcentral